CAAGCGCAGGGUUUGGUUCGGGGAAAAAAGGUUCAAAGGUUCGGCAGAAAUCGAACCCCGUCCAAAAGCCAAAUGUUAGGCCGAAUCCAAAGCCAAAUCCUGGAUUCGGUGCAUCCCUAAAAUAUGGCCAGG
This is a long non-coding RNA of Etheostoma spectabile (orangethroat darter), 132 nucleotides long. RefSeq lists it as uncharacterized. The record is from RefSeq and is a predicted model, not a curated record. NCBI's taxonomy places the organism in Eukaryota, Metazoa, Chordata, Actinopteri, Perciformes, Percidae. The transcript is spliced from 3 exons.